Molecule: long non-coding RNA, 1002 nt
Filed under: Sus scrofa (pig)
Lineage: Eukaryota; Metazoa; Chordata; Mammalia; Artiodactyla; Suidae
Description: lncRNA (ENSSSCG00055015615.1)
Source: RNAcentral
CAGGGGGGCAGGUGUACCUUAAUGCAUGGAGUCAACCUCAGGUGUGACCUCUAGCCCACAGCAGCAGCAGCGGAGAACUCACGUUCUUCUCAGAGAAAGGAAAGAAGGGCAGAGCUGAAUCAAGCCUGCCCAGUUGUGCUCCCGAGAAGCACCUGUGCCCAGGCAGUGAGUGAAACUCCUAGAAGGAAGCAUCAGGGGAGGGGGGCAGCAUUCUCUGUCUUAGGAGAACAGACUCGUAAAGUGCGAGAGGUAGUUGCCUUGCUGUCUUGCUCAGAUGUCUUCAAGUCCUCACCUUUGCAUCCCCAACUUUAUUCUGCAGAAGAAAGCAGCCAAUGGAGGCGCUCUCUGCUGUGGACCUGGUUCUCUUCCAUCACAGCACUGACCUUGAACGGCCGGCCACCUGUGACCCCCCAUCUCCUGCUCUGAAUCCCGCCUUCACCCCACGGGAGCCGGCAGAGCGUCUGCACCUGCCAGCUACUCAGCGCACCUUUGGAACUCAGCUGGAAUUUGGGGUCACUCUUCGGGAUCAUGGAUCAACCACGGAGCUGGUUAUUGCUGCGAUGAGAACAGCGGCUGCUGCUGCUGUGUCCCCAGAGUGAGUUUCAUGUAACUCUGCAACAUUGAUGCACUGAGGAAGACAAGGAAAAGUCCUGAGGAGGCUCAGAGCUGGCGCAAGCUCCGUGUGUGUGUGUGUGAGCGUGGGUGAGGAGGAGGCACAUCUCGAACCAUGUCCUAGAGGUCAGCCUACCUGCAAGUGACAGUGAGGACCACGUGAGGCACGCUUUGCACUGAAAAAGGUACCCCCCACCCCCCUUCCCCAUUUUGUCUGGUGCUUCCUCCGAAGGAUUAGUGGUGACCAAAAGGGCAGUGGGGGGCUCUUGAGGAGCCUUUCCAUCUGGCAGUGCUGGAAAUGGAGUGUAUGAAAUGGUUUCUGCCGAGAGUUCCUCGGGGAUGUGGGCACCCCAACCACACCCUCAGGGCAUCGCCAGCCCCGGGGUGCUU